CGUGCUGCCCUAGUAAUCAGAUCAGAUCCAAGCACAAAUAGUAAGUUAGGGUUUGGGUGCUUGUUUUGUCAGAGCACGAAAGGACGACCAGGGAUGAGCGUACCUGGUGGCAGAGAGGUCGUGCAGAUCCUUAGAGGAGUGCCCGACGAGGCCAUCGCAAGGGCAGCCCGCAAGUCACCGGAGAGGUCGCCCGCCGAGGAAGACGGAGUUUGCUCGUGACCUUGGAGGUUUUUUAUUUUUUUUCCUUCAUAGGCAUAGGCAUAUAUACAUACGUUGUUUUCUUUCUAUUUUCCAAUUUCCAGUGACUUCAGGAGAUUCGAACUUGCAUCGUUCAUAUUCGUAAGAGGGGAGGGCCUGGCUUGAGAGGGUGAGAAGCCUCGCAUCAAAGGCCGAGGGUGUGUAAGGUCGUGAUCAUACUUCUAAUCUGGACCGUUAAAUCUAUAGGAUAUGUGUUGUGAGUCGUUGAUCUUGCAGGUGGGAUUUGUCUGGAGAAGAUUUCAAUUAUAGUAGAGAUAUUUAUAUUAUUGAUCUUAUGUGACACUUACCCUGCAUGAGAGAUAGAUAAAGAUAUGGUUAAGAUCUCCAUGAAUACAUGCAGUGCUCAUUGCUCAUUAUCCAUUGCAAGUCCCUUCCUAGUGGUAAAAAUAUAAAUAACGAUACCUAGAUUACUCCCGGUUAAAAUGAUAGAUCGGUAUUAUCUAUGUGCUUGCGGAUCCUUUAUUUAUUUAUUCCCUAGAAGAUCAUGCUGGGGAUGACAACCUGGCUUAAAAGUAAUUUUGAUGCCAUUGCUAGGGAUAGGUAUAAAAGUCUAUCUAUAGUAGUUGUGUUAAGAAGUGUCAACAGCCAUCUCAAGGAUGGCUACGAUCUCCAGGGCCGAGAUCUAGAUGUAGAGUUUCUAUUUUAUAGGAGCAGAUUUGAUUGCUGGUGAUGGCCUGAGCAGUUUCCUCCAUAUCAUGUUGAGCAGUUUUGGCUGCAUCGUGGGUCUGU
Molecule: long non-coding RNA, 987 nt
Filed under: Sorghum bicolor (sorghum)
Lineage: Eukaryota; Viridiplantae; Streptophyta; Magnoliopsida; Poales; Poaceae
Description: long non-coding RNA (SBIC_LNC008047)
Source: RNAcentral